AUGACGGGAGAGGGCCAGGCGUGGCUUGGCGUAGCCAAGAGCCACGAGUUCGUCGGCGCCGGCCUCCGGAGCUGGCCUUGGCAGGCUGAAGCGUCGCGGCGGAGGGCGAUAAGGCGGCCGGCUUGCUCUCUUGGGGCGAGGCGCCGCGGCGCUCCGGCUCCGGCAGAGGGCCAGGCGUGGCUUGGCGUCGCCAAGAGCCACGAGGUCGUCGGCGCCGGCCUCUGCGCCAUGCUGGACAAGCUGCUGCUGCCCCCCUGCGCCGCCCAGCUUCAGUUCUCUGAAUCCUUAAUUUCGUGUGGUGAUUUGGACGGAAUUGAAGACCGCGUCCUUCUCCAACACAAAUCAAUGUCCAAUGUAAUCGAGUUGGAGUCUGUGUUCCUCUCUGACACAAAAGCAUGUACUGCCCGACACGGAUUGGACUUGGCUUCCAUAAGAAGGAAGGAUCCUCGACCGGAACGUCCAUUAGGCUGCAAUUGCAUUGCAACUUUCAGAGGAACGUCCAAUGUUGCCGGCGGAGGAAAAUCAUCCUUUGAGCCAUACUAUGCCGAGUUCGCCGGCAGAAGAACACCCGAUGAGCUGUCCAUCGCCUGA
Molecule: ribosomal RNA, 591 nt
Filed under: Triticum aestivum (bread wheat)
Lineage: Eukaryota; Viridiplantae; Streptophyta; Magnoliopsida; Poales; Poaceae
Description: partial small subunit ribosomal RNA
Source: RNAcentral